RNAcentral lists this long non-coding RNA (979 nucleotides) under Homo sapiens (human). RNAcentral's name for it is "HSALNT0377990". Lineage: Eukaryota; Metazoa; Chordata; Mammalia; Primates; Hominidae. The record is from RNAcentral.
AGUUGUUGGCAGUGCUAACCAGAGGGAACCAUGGCUUUAGUGCUCGCUCAGCGGAUGCGGGGUCCCCGGGCAUGUCCUCAUGGGCUCUCAGCCCCAGGACAGGAGGAGCUGGGCAAACACACAGGAGACCAGCAGGCAGCAGGAGGGAGCCAGGCGUUUCCCUGGACGGCGGCCAUCGGGCUGUUGUUGGGAUCCAGUUUCAAGCUCCUUCGAGGAGAGCCGCAUGGGGUCAUCCCCUCCACGACGCCCCAGGAAGGAGACUGAUGAGCAGACAGUUGUUAACGCCGCGCCGCCGCCGCCACCGUGGUUUGCCUUGAAAACCCCUCCACUGCCAGCUGCUCAGCUCUGCCCAGCCUAGGCCUCCAGGGCCCCAGGCUCCGCUGCCUGAGGAAAACCUGGAUCCUUCAGGGAGGAGGGGCACCGCCGCCGCAUUCCAAGGAGACCUCACACCCUCCCUCGCCUGCUGCUGCUUCCUUCUUAUUCUUCGGCCCCUCUCCCCCAUCCCAACCCACCACCCCCCCAGGGCUUUUCUAGCCCUCUGCUCCUCACAUCCUCCUGCCCCCAGGGAAGAGGCUGAAAGCUGUGGUAGGAUGAGCACGAGGCCUGGCUGUGCAGCCCGGGACAGCCAAGAAACUUCUCUGAGCCUCUGUUUCCUCAUCUUUAAAAUGGGAGUGACGAAUGUCCACACCCUAAUUACUGGCCUUGGAAGGAUAUCAAUGAUGCAUUGCUGAGCGAAAGCAGCAGGAUGUAAUUCAGAAGGCAUUGGAGAUGCUCUGGAAAGAUAGCCAAUAAAUUGCAGUCAGAGGCUACCUGCAGAGUCUGGGGGUGGUGAGAGAGGGACAGAGGAGUAAUGGGUGUGUGGUGGGGAGAGAAUUUUCACUUUUUACUUAAUAUACCUUGAAUUUUGUUUCAGCAAGUAUGUACCCCUUUUGUGAUAAGAAAAAAAAUGAAGACAUUAUUUUUCAGAGUUGUUCCCAGC